Molecule: small nuclear RNA, 88 nt
Filed under: Pimelodus pohli
Lineage: Eukaryota; Metazoa; Chordata; Actinopteri; Siluriformes; Pimelodidae
Also listed under: 1 other name
Description: partial U1 snRNA
Source: RNAcentral
AAGGGGUUACCCAAAGGCGAGGCUCAGCCAUUGCACUCGGGCUGUGCUGACCCCUGCGAAUUCCACAAAGGAGGGGAACUCGCCAGCC